UGAGGAAUAUUUGCGCAAUGGGGGAAACCCUGACGCAGCGACGCCGCGUGAGUGACGAAGGUUUUCGGAUCGUAAAGCUCUGUCAGAAGGGAAGAAAUGCUAUAUGGUUAAUACCCAUAUAGUUUGACGGUACCUUCAGAGGAAGCACCGGCUAACUCCGUGCCAGCAGCCGCGGUAAUACGGAGGGUGCAAGCGUUGUUCGGAAUUACUGGGCGUAAAGGGCGCGUAGGCGGCUUGAUAAGUCAGGUGUGAAAGUCCACGGCUCAACCGUGGAAGUGCAUUUGAAACUGUCAGACUUGAGUAUCGGAGGGGAGUGUGGAAUUCCCGGUGUAGAGGUGAAAUUCGUAGAGAUCGGGAGGAACACCGGUGGCGAAGGCGACACUCUGGACGAAUACUGACGCUGAGGCGCGAAAGCGUGGGGAGCAAACAGGAUUAGAUACCCUGGUAGUCCACGCCGUAAACGAUGUGAACUAGGGAUAGGGGGUGUUGAUCCCUCCUGUCCCGCAGCUAACGCAUUAAGUUCACCGCCUGGGGAGUACGGUCGCAAGAUUA
RNAcentral lists this ribosomal RNA (552 nucleotides) under uncultured bacterium. RNAcentral's name for it is "bacterial SSU rRNA". It matches the Rfam family "Bacterial small subunit ribosomal RNA", at positions 355 to 896 of the family's 1533-position model. The record is from RNAcentral.